AGAGUUUGAUCAUGGCUCAGAACGAACGCUGGCGGCGUGCUUAACACAUGCAAGUCGAACGCGAACGAGUUCUUCGGAACUUUAGUAGAGUGGCGCACGGGUGAGUAACGCGUAAGUAAUCUACCCUCGCAUCUGGGAUAACCCACCGAAAGGUGUGCUAAUACCGGAUACGUCUAAGUUAAUAUCUUUUUUUUAGAGAAAGGUGGCCUCUGAUUCAAGCUACUGUGCGGGGAGGAGCUUGCGUACCAUUAGCUAGUUGGUAGGGUAACGGCCUACCAAGGCGACGAUGGUUAGCGGGUCUGAGAGGAUGAUCCGCCACACUGGAACUGAAACACGGGCCAGACUCCUACGGGAGGCAGCAGUGAGGAAUAUUGCGCAAUGGGGGCAACCCUGACGCAGCGACGCCGCGUGGAUGAUGAAGGCCUUCGGGUUGUAAAAUCCUGUCAGAUGGGAAGAAGUGCUAUAUGGUUAAUAUCUGUAUAGUUUGACGGUACCAUCAAAGGAAGCACCGGCUAACUCCGUGCCAGCAGCCGCGGUAAUACGGAGGGUGCAAGCGUUGUUCGGAAUUACUGGGCGUAAAGCGCGCGUAGGCGGCUAUGUAAGUCAGAUGUGAAAGCCCGCGGCUCAACCGUGGAAGUGCAUUUGAAACUGUAUAGCUUGAGUACUGGAGGGGGUAGUGGAAUUCCCGGUGUAGAGGUGAAAUUCGUAGAUAUCGGGAGGAAUACCGGUGGCGAAGGCGACUACCUGACCAGAUACUGACGCUGAGGUGCGAAAGCGUGGGGAGCAAACAGGAUUAGAUACCCUGGUAGUCCACGCCGUAAACGAUGUCAACUAGGUGUUGGAGUGGUUAAUCGCUUCAUUGCCGGAGCUAACGCAUUAAGUUGACCGCCUGGAGAGUACGGUCGCAAGAUUAAAACUCAAAGGAAUUGACG
RNAcentral lists this ribosomal RNA (932 nucleotides) under uncultured bacterium. Its description in RNAcentral is "bacterial SSU rRNA". It matches the Rfam family "Bacterial small subunit ribosomal RNA", at positions 8 to 915 of the family's 1533-position model. The record is from RNAcentral.